RNAcentral lists this ribosomal RNA (510 nucleotides) under uncultured bacterium. RNAcentral's name for it is "bacterial SSU rRNA". It matches the Rfam family "Bacterial small subunit ribosomal RNA", at positions 791 to 1310 of the family's 1533-position model. The record is from RNAcentral.
UAGUCCACGCCGUAAACGAUGGACACUAGUUGUUGGGAUUUAUCUCAGUGACUAAGCGAAAGUGAUAAGUGUCCCACCUGGGGAGUACGAUCGCAAGAUUGAAACUCAAAGGAAUUGACGGGGGCCCGCACAAGCGGUGGAGCAUGUGGUUUAAUUCGAUGAUACGCGAGGAACCUUACCAGGGCUUAAAUGUAGUAUGACAGGUUUAGAGAUAGACUUUUCUUCGGACAUAUUACAAGGUGCUGCAUGGUUGUCGUCAGCUCGUGCCGUGAGGUGUUGGGUUAAGUCCCGCAACGAGCGCAACCCUUGUCUUUAGUUGCCAUCAUUUAGUUGGGCACUCUAGAGAAACUGCCGGUGACAAACCGGAGGAAGGUAAGGAUGACGUCAAGUCAGCAUGCCCCUUACGCUCUGGGCUACACACGUGCUACAAUGGUCGUGACAAAGAGUUGCUAGUCUGCGAAGGCAAGCCAAUCUCAUAAACGCGGCCUUAGUUCGGAUUGCAGGCUGAAA